RNAcentral lists this unclassified non-coding RNA (198 nucleotides) under plant metagenome. RNAcentral describes it as "partial contains small subunit ribosomal RNA and internal transcribed spacer 1". The stretch from base 1 to 46 matches the Rfam family "Eukaryotic small subunit ribosomal RNA", at positions 1786 to 1831 of the family's 1831-position model. The record is from RNAcentral.
AAGUCAUAACAAGGUUUCUGUAGGUGAACCUGCAGAAGGAUCAUUAUUGAAUUGUUAAAAAUCGGGGAAUCUUUCGAGAUUCCUCUACAUUCUUUAUUCCUAACACCGUGUGAAUCGUUGCUGAGUUUGCCUCAGUGGCAACCAUUUUUUAUACACACAUAAUAGUUUAGAACGUAAAAAUAUAAUAAAAAAAUACAA